UGGGUUUGGUUGGAGCAGUUAGGGCCCAUUGGGUUCUGCCAACUGCUCCCACCUCAUCUCACCCUCUACUGUGAUUACCAACAACACUCUUCACUGGCCACCACGUAUUCGGUUGGUCCACCAUCACCUUGUUCACCCAAGACGCAGGUGAGACGACUCCCUUGAGUUAUAUUACCUUCUAGAAACCAUUUGAAAUCAAACAAGUGACUUCCCGAUGUGUACAUUCUCUUAUUUCUUAAUGUUUCAGCUGCCCAGCAAAUUUUUUGACGAGGACAGGGGAUAUUGAGGAGUGAAGCAGCUGUCCUUGAUGUGGCGAAACGCGGAUGGUUUGAAGAUAUGAUAUGCAAACAGACAAGGAUAUCAGCAAG
RNAcentral lists this long non-coding RNA (368 nucleotides) under Vitis vinifera (wine grape). RNAcentral's name for it is "long non-coding RNA (VVIN_LNC005943)". Lineage: Eukaryota; Viridiplantae; Streptophyta; Magnoliopsida; Vitales; Vitaceae. The record is from RNAcentral.